GUGGGGAAUCUUGCGCAAUGGGCGAAAGCCUGACGCAGCCAUGCCGCGUGAAUGAUGAAGGUCUUAGGAUUGUAAAAUUCUUUCACCGGGGACGAUAAUGACGGUACCCGGAGAAGAAGCCCCGGCUAACUUCGUGCCAGCAGCCGCGGUAAUACGAAGGGGGCUAGCGUUGCUCGGAAUUACUGGGCGUAAAGGGCGCGUAGGCGGAUCGUUAAGUCAGGGGUGAAAUCCCAGAGCUCAACUCUGGAACUGCCCUUGAUACUGGCGAGCUUGAGUGUGAGAGAGGUAUGUGGAACUCCGAGUGUAGAGGUGAAAUUCGUAGAUAUUCGGAAGAACACCAGUGGCGAAGGCGACAUACUGGCUCAUUACUGACGCUGAGGCGCGAAAGCGUGGGGAGCAAACAGGAUUAGAAACCCCGGUAGUCC
This 425-nucleotide ribosomal RNA is filed under the name uncultured bacterium. Its description in RNAcentral is "partial 16S ribosomal RNA". It matches the Rfam family "Bacterial small subunit ribosomal RNA", at positions 354 to 796 of the family's 1533-position model. The record is from RNAcentral.